This 497-nucleotide ribosomal RNA is filed under the name uncultured bacterium. Its description in RNAcentral is "partial 16S ribosomal RNA". It matches the Rfam family "Bacterial small subunit ribosomal RNA", at positions 28 to 507 of the family's 1533-position model. The record is from RNAcentral.
GAUGAACGCUGGCGGCGUGCCUAAUACAUGCAAGUCGAGCGAACAGAUUAGUAGCUUGCUCCUCUGACGUUUGCGGCGGACGUGUGAAUAACACGUGUAUUACCUCCCUCUCUUCCUGGUAUAACUUCGGGAAUCCGGCUCUAAUCCCGUAUAAUAUUUUUAACCACAUGGUUCUAUAGUGUAAUUCGGUUUUGCAUUCACUUAUAGAUUAAUCCGCGCCGCAUUAGCUAGUUGGUUAGGUAACGGCUUACCAAGGCCACGACGCGUAGCCGACCUGAGAGAGUGAUAGGCGACACUGGAACUGAGACACGGUCAAGACGACUAAGGGAGGCAGCAGAAGGGAAUCGGACGCAAUGGGCGAAAGCAUGACGGAGCAACGGCGCGUGAGUGAUGAAGGUCUUGGGAGCGUAAAGAUCGGUUAUGAGGGAAGAACAAAUGUGGAAGUAAAUAUGCACGAAUUGACGGUACCUAAUCAGAAAGCCACGGCUAACUACGUG